RNAcentral lists this long non-coding RNA (222 nucleotides) under Fukomys damarensis (Damara mole-rat). RNAcentral's name for it is "lncRNA (ENSFDAG00000026835.1)". Lineage: Eukaryota; Metazoa; Chordata; Mammalia; Rodentia; Bathyergidae. The record is from RNAcentral.
GGAGUGCAGGAGGCCCAGCCAUGCUGAAGAAAAGCCCAGUGUUGGGCCAGCCUGGGUGUGGGCGAGGGGCACUUUGGGCGCUCGCUCAGCAACCUCCAGAGGCCCCCUGGGAGGGUGGUGAAGGAGCUGAAGGACAAGGAGGGCGCUCCGGGGAACUUGGGGUCAGGAAAACCAGGAGGUGGCGAAGGACACCAAGAAGGAGUAGCCAGAGGUCAAGGCAAA